This 441-nucleotide ribosomal RNA is filed under the name uncultured bacterium. Its description in RNAcentral is "partial 16S ribosomal RNA". It matches the Rfam family "Bacterial small subunit ribosomal RNA", at positions 338 to 795 of the family's 1533-position model. The record is from RNAcentral.
CCUACGGGAGGCAGCAGUGGGGAAUAUUGCACAAUGGGGGAAACCCUGAUGCAGCAACGCCGCGUGAAGGAAGACGGUUUUCGGAUUGUAAACUUCUGUUCUUAGUGAAGAAUAAUGACGGUAGCUAAGGAGCAAGCCACGGCUAACUACGUGCCAGCAGCCGCGGUAAUACGUAGGUGGCAAGCGUUGUCCGGAAUUACUGGGCGUAAAGGGAGCGCAGGCGGGAAGCCAAGUCAGCUGUGAAAACUACGGGCUUAAAUUGUAGACUGCAGUUGAAACUGGUUUUCUUGAGUGAAGGAGAGGUUGGCGGAAUGCGGGGUGUAGCGGUGAAAUGCAUAGAUAUUCGGAGGAACACCGGUGGCGAAGGCGGCCAGCUGGGCUUUAACUGACGCUGAGGCUCGAAAGUGUGGGGAGCGAACAGGAUUAGAUACCCGUGUAGUC